CAGCGCCCACCGCGCAAGAUACGCUAGCCUGAGACAACAGAGGUGAGGGUGAAGGAGAGCGGCACGGGAACGGCAGCGGGAGGCGAUGGGAAUGGCGUUGGCUUCAGGUGACCGGAAAGGCAAAAGGGAAAGGGGAAGGGGGUGUCGCGCGCAUGGCGCUGGCGCCAGGAAGGAGAAGGGAAAAGAGAAAAGAAAAAAAAAAGAAAAAAAAGAAAAAGAAAAAAAAGAAAAGAGAAAAAUCUUGGGCUUCUAGACCAUUCCGGUUCGAUUCGAACCGGUUUGGUCUAAUUUCAAUGAUUCGGCUCGAUUUUGUUCGGUUUGCAAGUUUUUCACUUGGUUUUCAAAUUAUUCGUGUGGUUUUUGAAAAAUCAAUUCGCGUUUCGAGUCCGG
RNAcentral lists this long non-coding RNA (390 nucleotides) under Jatropha curcas. Its description in RNAcentral is "long non-coding RNA (JCUR_LNC001625)". The record is from RNAcentral. Lineage: Eukaryota; Viridiplantae; Streptophyta; Magnoliopsida; Malpighiales; Euphorbiaceae.